CUUUGAACCUAAUGACCUGGCCACCUACUUUACUGAGAAAACUGACAUUAUCAGAUGUGAUCUCCCUAAAAUCUUCUCUGCCCCUUCCCAGCCCUUCCCCCCUCCUGAUGCUUUUUCAAUUCUCCCAACUUUCCCAGCAGCAUCUCUAGAGGAGAUCUCUUGCCUUCUCUCCAAAUCUCCCCCCGACCUAUGCCUCUGACCCCAUUCUUUCGCAGCUUAUUAAAACACUUGCUGCUUCCAUCUUCCUUUCUUAACUGCCAUCUUCAACUAUUCGCUCUCCAAUGGCUUCUUCCCCACUGCUUUCAAACAUGCCCAUGUCUCCCCUUUCCAAAAAAAAAGCCUCUCUUGACCCGGCGGCUUCCUCCAGUUAUUGCCCCAUCUCCCUCCUACCAUUCCUCUUCAAACUUCUUGAGUAAGUUGUCUAUACCUGCUAUCUCAAAUUCCUCUCCUCCAAUUUUCCCCCUUACCCUCUCUAAUUUGUCUUCCUUUCCCUUCACUCCACAGAUCUUCUCAAAUAUCACCAAUGAUGAUAGUGACCUGAGACAGACUCUUGGAGAGGAGGAAGUAAGAACACCAAGGGAUUGGCCCAGAAACAUCAUGAACAUCAGGGCAAACAGAAUCGCAUGAAGUGUUCGGCUGCAAAAAGGACUCCCAUAACACACGUACGUGAUAAAUGCAACAAUUCUGCUCACUGCCAGAAUCCAAAAUGGCUUCCUGAGCAGUUAACACUGAUUCAUUCUGUGCUCAGGCACGAGUCAACAAACCCAUUAAACUGCACAGGGUGAGGAAACCAAAGCAGCUUUGUUAUCGGAUGGACAGGUGACACCCAACUUGAAUGGGAGGCAUGGCCUCUUGGGAGUCACAGGAAUCCGUAGCCUCCUCCAGCUCGGAGCAUGUGAUGACAAAUGCAAAGUGUUCUCUUCAAAAGCAAGAGCAGGUUUGAGAAAUUUCAGGUUGCAAAGCUAAAAUCCACAGGUUCUUGGAUUAUGAAUACUUUCACUAAAACAUAAAUAUUUUUAACAUAUAUUAAUUUCUUCUGACAUUCAAAAUUGUAAAGUCAAUAUGGCAGAAUUAUUGUUAAAAGCACAUAUGUACAAAUAUUCUUUUUUCCAUACAUAAAGUGUUUGGCAUAAUUAUAACAAUCAUACUGCAUACACAACAGUUUGCUUUUAUUUCAUUUUUUUACACGUCAUGGUAUAUCUUAUUAAAAUUAACCAGUUAUGUACAAAAAUACUUGGACAUUUAUUAUAGAAAACCUCUAUCAUCACCCUUGACAGCUGCUGAACAGUUUCACUGAGAGAAAAUAUAAAAAAGUGGUCACCAUCUUCCGAGUUGGCUGGCAACAAAAGCAGACAACAGUUAAACCCACAUCGGGUUCCUGACACAAGAGAUAGAAUAGAUUUGAACCUCUUGGUCUGAAACUCAGUUCCCUGGUCCGCUGUCCAAUGAGGGUUUUCUACACAGCCAAUCAGAGAAAAGAAAAAGUACAAAAUACAAAAGUACAUACAAGGUGCUUCGCCACAACCCUUUGAGGGGGUCUUGGGUCACCGCCUUCAGUGGCCUGCAGGUGCUGGGGGUCAGAGUUUCUACUAGAAGGGAGAACGGAGAGUUCAGAGCCCUUCUGGAAAGGCCUAACUCGGUCAGGGGAAUCAGGAUAGCUCUAGGGAGGAGGCGGUGGUGGUGAUGAUGGGAGGGGGGGAGGGGAAGAGGGCAGAAAGGGGGAAAGGAGAUGAAAGAGUGGUUUGGGAUUUUUCUAUUUUGUGCAGAAUUGAAUUAAUGCCCUUGUCUUUUCCAAGUCCCGAUGCUGUUUCAUCAGGCUAAUAGAUAUUCUUGAAGAGUAUACUCCCCUUCUAUUUGCUGUAUUGAAUUAAUACUGGCUAGUAUCGAUUCCAGGAGCUCUGUUAAUGGGAAACAUUUAUUUGUGCCUAUUUAAUGCUUGAACAUCUGUUCAUCCUCAAUGAC
Molecule: long non-coding RNA, 1962 nt
Filed under: Ornithorhynchus anatinus (platypus)
Lineage: Eukaryota; Metazoa; Chordata; Mammalia; Monotremata; Ornithorhynchidae
Description: lncRNA (ENSOANG00000044405.1)
Source: RNAcentral